UACAGAGACUGCAAGCGUUAUUCGGAUUCACUGGGCGUAAAGGGUGCGCAGGCGGCCGAGUGUGUGAGGCGUGAAAGCCCGGGGCUUAACCCCGGAAUUGCACCUCAAACUACAUGGCUAGAGCAUUGGAGAGGGUAGCAGAAUUCAUGGUGUAGCAGUGAAAUGCGUAGAUAUCAUGAGGAAUACCAGAGGCGAAGGCGGCUACCUGGACAAUUGCUGACGCUCAGGCACGAAAGCGUGGGGAGCAAAAGGG
Molecule: ribosomal RNA, 253 nt
Filed under: uncultured bacterium
Lineage: Bacteria
Description: partial 16S ribosomal RNA
Rfam family: Bacterial small subunit ribosomal RNA
Source: RNAcentral